Molecule: ribosomal RNA, 253 nt
Filed under: uncultured bacterium
Lineage: Bacteria
Description: partial 16S ribosomal RNA
Rfam family: Bacterial small subunit ribosomal RNA
Source: RNAcentral
UACGUAGGGUGCAAGCGUUAAUCGGAAUUACUGGGCGUAAAGCGCGCGUAGGCGGCCCCGUAAGUCCGCUGUGAAAGUCAAAGGCUCAACCUUUGAAAGCCGGUGGAUACUGUGGGGCUAGAGUCCGGAAGAGGCGAGUGGAAUUCCUGGUGUAGCGGUGGAAUGCGCAGAUAUCGGGAGGAACACCGGUGGCGAAGGCGGUUCUCUGGGCCUGUACUGACGCUGAGGAGCGAAAGCGUGGGGAGCGAACAGG